CAAAAUCCCUAGCUAUUUUUUGGAUGAACUUCUGUGACAUUCAUCAUGUUAUUGCUAGUACUCAUGUAAUUUCAUGAUCGGCAAGUGUGCCACAAAGAUCUACUAUACUGAGACCAAAUGGGUAAGAGAACUUUAUGCAGAAACUUUCGGUGCAAUCAACUACCUUAUGAUUAACCUUCUCCACAUUGGUGCUAGUAAACAGCUUGAAUCCUGUAAUGGAAGUUUGAUGGAAUCAUGGAAUUGGAAGACACCACCAGAAAACUAUUCUUAAUUUCAGAAACCUUUACCAUAAUCAAUUCUUCAAGAUGCACCUGAUUUUGUUAAAUGUUUCAAUGGCACCCUUCUAGUUGAUACCUUUAAGUGCGUUAUGACGUUGUCAGGUAAUGAAAGGUCUAUUGGAAAGAAAAAAAAAAAUGAUUUUGAUCGCUCCCAUUUGCAUGCGGCUUGUCGAUUUAUAUAUUUGCUUCCUGUUUUCUUUUGCUUUGUGGAAAGGAGGGAAACUUGUUACUAAAAAAAAAAAAAAAAAAAGUGGCUUGUGAAGCAUCUAACAAGGCAAUUCGAUUUGGAAUCCCUUGAUUCCAGUGCUGCAGAAAGCUGUUGUCUUAAGGAAGCAACUGUCACCUGCAAUCCUUCACACUCACAGAUCUGAUUUACCAAAAUGGAAGCCAGCUGUUAUUGGAUUACUCUGUUGUCCACAGUUUUGACCUGAAAUAAAUGAAAUAAUACGCAAUUCCAGUUGCGCCCCGACUAAGGAAAUGAAGCCACUGGUUCUUAGCUUAUGGGCUGGCCUGUGUGACAAGGAACUCACUACUCUCCUGUUGCACGUUGAAGGAGCCGCUGUUGAAGAUGGAAGAAAGCCCAUCAUAUGGGAUACUUACACACAUGCUGGUUAACAGCAUUUUCACCUACCACUAUUCUGCAUCUUCAUCAUCUGACAGAAUCAAAAGAUUCAAUUAAUCACCUGAGAUUUUUUUUCUGUCACAGGAAAUUUUUUUGACAAGAGCACGUGAGUCAUUUCAGCAAAUCAAUAUCUCAAGCACAAGGUGAAAAAACAACCUAGUAGAUUCUCAAUAGAAAUGCUUGUUUUGGUUGAUGGCAGAAAGAUUUGAAGCUAAUGCAUGAGAUGGGCCUGGAUGCCUAAAGAUUUUCUAUUUCCUAGUCCAGGCUAAUUCCUGAUGGACGGGGAGCUAUCGACCCAAAAGGCUUGUAGUACUACAACAAUCUCAUCAAUGAACUUGUCCAUCAGUUGAACUCUCCUGAUUGUCGUUUAUGAACCGUUCAUAAGGUGAGCUCUUCUAGAACUAGAUACCUGACAUCUCAAUGGACUUCCUAUUUAAUCAAUCAUUUAUUUGGCAUGGGUGAUUGAGUGCAAAUUUGUUCUUAGUUUUAAAGCCUUUCAUUCUCAUCUUGAAUUUAAAGUUUUUAUAUACCUCAUUGUCUACGUGUGGAUGAACUCUUCAUAACUGGUUAUCUCUUUAUUUGUUCAUAUACCAAAUAUAUUCUUCCAUGUGGUCCUGAUUUCUGCCAUUUACCCUGUAGCGGUUAACAUGGAGGCAAGAACAUUUACUACGUGCUCAACAAGGAAUUCCAAUAUCGGAAUAUGAGGUUUUAUGAAGGUGUUGUGCAUUCUUGUAACCCAGGAAAGAAGAAAUAUGUGGUGAACUAUGAGACUUGUGUACUUCUCUUAAUUAUCCCUGUCCAAACUAUCUACUUUCUUGAAGACUUCUUGAAUGAUAUUUCUUUCAAAGAUACUAUAUGACGAUGGAGAUGUGGUAGUUCUCUAGUUAGAUAAGGAGCAGUGGGAGGUUAUCAGUGGCGGUUUUGAGCCUAGCAAGCCCCGAGAAGAUCAAGUUGAAACCAUUACAAGGAAAAAGCAAAGCAAAAAAUCAGCCAGGGGAGGGACCUCUAUAGAAAGAGCUACUUCCAUGCAUGUGAAAGCCUUUUAUCUGUACUCCUCAAUAAACUGAGGGGGAAGAUGGCAAUCCUUUCACUGAAGAAAUCUGGACCAAAACUCCCUUAACUCCUGACCCAAUUCUCAGUCAGGAUUGCUGGGACUAGCCUUGCCGUCAUCUUCUCUGUCUUCUGUAAGGUCGCAGGUGGAAGAGUGCCAUUUUGUGCCACCAAGCUACUCAAUACUGGGUUUGGGUUAGGAUUGGUCUGGCUUUCAUGGGCAUUCAACCACUUUAGAGAUACGAUCGUCUAUGUCAGCAAGAAUUCAAGUAGGGUGGUUUUGAAUGAGGAUGAGAUUGUGAGAAAAGUCAAUAGAAGUGUGAAUGUUAUUUUCUUCAGGGCUGUGAUGUUAAUGGCGGUUGCAGUGCUGAGGUUUGCAUGAGUAAAAAGGCAAGGAGAUUUUGGAGUUGGGUUUUUCCUUUUUCCCACCAUAAGCUUAUGUGAAAAUCUUGAGACAUCGGUAUUUUUCUAACCUUAGUUUUAUGGCAGUUGAUGUGG
Long non-coding RNA from Magnolia sinica, 2448 nucleotides. RefSeq lists it as uncharacterized. The record is from RefSeq and is a predicted model, not a curated record. The transcript has 6 exons. Lineage: Eukaryota; Viridiplantae; Streptophyta; Magnoliopsida; Magnoliales; Magnoliaceae.